This 730-nucleotide ribosomal RNA is filed under the name uncultured bacterium. Its description in RNAcentral is "bacterial SSU rRNA". It matches the Rfam family "Bacterial small subunit ribosomal RNA", at positions 771 to 1501 of the family's 1533-position model. The record is from RNAcentral.
AACAGGAUUAGAUACCCUGGUAGUCCACGCCGUAAACGAUGUCGACUUGGAGGUUGUUCCCUUGAGGAGUGGCUUCCGGAGCUAACGCGCUAAGUCGACCGCCUGGGGAGUACGGCCGCAAGGUUAAAACUCAAAUGAAUUGACGGGGGCCCGCACAAGCGGUGGAGCAUGUGGUUUAAUUCGAUGCAACGCGAAGAACCUUACCUACUCUUGACAUCCACGGAAUUCGGCAGAGAUGCCUUAGUGCCUUCGGGAACCGUGAGACAGGUGCUGCAUGGCUGUCGUCAGCUCGUGUUGUGAAAUGUUGGGUUAAGUCCCGCAACGAGCGCAACCCUUAUCCUUUGUUGCCAGCGAUUCGGUCGGGAACUCAAAGGAGACUGCCGGUGAUAAACCGGAGGAAGGUGGGGAUGACGUCAAGUCAUCAUGGCCCUUACGAGUAGGGCUACACACGUGCUACAAUGGCGCAUACAAAGAGAAGCGACCUCGCGAGAGCAAGCGGACCUCAUAAAGUGCGUCGUAGUCCGGAUCGGAGUCUGCAACUCGACUCCGUGAAGUCGGAAUCGCUAGUAAUCGUGGAUCAGAAUGCCACGGUGAAUACGUUCCCGGGCCUUGUACACACCGCCCGUCACACCAUGGGAGUGGGUUGCAAAAGAAGUAGGUAGCUUAACCUUCGGGAGGGCGCUUACCACUUUGUGAUUCAUGACUGGGGUGAAGUCGUAACAAGGUAACC